GCGAGACUGCGGGGCAGCGGCCGCCAGGGGGCGAUGGCCGCUCCCGCCGGCCCCGCCCUGCGGGCUCGGCCCCGCCACAGCGCGUCCGGGAGCGUCUCGGCCUUUCCGGUGUGAUUCCCUCCCACCCGCACCCCAACCCUCGAUACAGGCUGGUUUCAGCGCUGCGGAAACUGGAGGAUCCUUGGAGCAUAAAAGGCUAUUUGUAGCCCCUGAGUGACCACGGCAGUGCUCAGCUGCAGGGUGACCUGGUUGUGAUCCUGGUCAAGGUCUGAGCCCUGCGGGAAUUUCCAGGAGACCAAAGCAACCCCUGGCACUGUUAAUGGCUGCUCGGAACCGCAGCCCUGAGCUACGUGAGAGCUCCCAACAUCUCCCUUCUGCCAGACCAAGGGCAUCUGCUGCGCUAAUUCCCACUGUGGCUAAGGGUGGGCGAUCUGGAGGGUGAGCGAGAGCAGAAAAGAUUUUGCCAUUUAAAUAACAGGUCUUUGCGCUGUGCGGUUUCACUGCAAUCUUUUCUGGAAGGAGCUGGCACAUGGCAGGAUGUGAUGGGAGGCUCCUGUCAUUGCACUUCUCUGACUUCCAUAAAGAAAUGGAAUGACUUUACACAACUGACUAAAUCGAAGGCAGGAUCGCAACUUUACAACACAACAGAUAAAAGAAUAAGGAAAUAACUUGGGAGUAGUGUAACAGAAAAUAAUGGACAAGGGAAAACAUAAAUAGAAACUAA
Taeniopygia guttata (zebra finch) is the source of this 724-nucleotide non-coding RNA. The record is from RefSeq and is a predicted model, not a curated record. NCBI's taxonomy places the organism in Eukaryota, Metazoa, Chordata, Aves, Passeriformes, Estrildidae.